Cyprinus carpio (common carp) is the source of this 1784-nucleotide long non-coding RNA. The record is from Ensembl. Lineage: Eukaryota; Metazoa; Chordata; Actinopteri; Cypriniformes; Cyprinidae.
CAGUUUUGUAAGAUUUGAAGUAUACUACAAGUGCACAUUCAAUACAAUUAGCUUCACACAGGUUGGGCACGAGCUGUAAAAUUACUCUAUAUAAAAUGUUUGCAGUUCAUAAACAAUUUUAACUACAGGCUAAUCAUGUGAUUAGUGAGAUUUUUUGCAUAAAAUAUUCCAUAAAGUUUUUUUUUUUUUUUUUUUUUUAACUUAGACCUGUAAGCAACCACUACUAGCAAUUGCAUCGCACAACCACAACUGCUAAGCAUUAUGUUUUUCCUAGAUCCUUUAUAUCUAAAAAUUAGCAGUGAUAUUGUAGCUUUUUUCCCCUUUAAUUCUGCCAGACUAAACCCAGGAGUCAAGCAAUAAAUAAGUAAACAGGAAACAUAUCACUGAGCAGCGCAUGAAUCAUUUGCAGGUAAAAAUAAUCUGCUUCCUCCCAGUUCAAACCGAUGAGAGGAAGUAGGAGUCAGACUUCAUGAGGAGCAUCGUUCACGGAUAAUACACAAAGUCUCAACGGAUAUUCAGCUGAGGCUUUGGCAGCAUGCCACUCCGCCAAUGUUCAGUAGCCUGCAGGUUCAAGGAGUGCAGAAGCCAGGAAGUGUUGAAGGUGUGCAGUCGGUGUCGAUCCCAGAAUGCAUAUUUAGCCCUAUAGGGCUCUAAUACAGUUGCCGUAAUGCAGCGUUAGUCUUUGAUCUGCACGCUGCGCUGGCGAACGAUCUCAGCGGGGCAUAUCCACUGCCUGAGAGCUUUAUACAUUAGCUUCCAUGUAAUGAUGCUUUUUGUAUCAACACUCCAGGCUAUGAUAGUGCAUGUCUAUAUGUCUACAUAGGGCAACAAGCUUCCGGCUGUGGAAGUCAGAAUGCAUACAGAUAUCUUGAGCACUCGUUGAAACCCUCUGGGAGGAUUGUGUGUUAACUCUCUUUAACCAGUACUGUGCAUUGUCAACGCAUGCAUGCAGACAGCUUGCUCAAACAGAUGAUUUUAGAUGUGGCAGCUGACCUAUGCAUGUAUUUCCUGCUGACUCUUUUACUGUAUACCUCCAUUUUUCUCAAAUGUUAAGUAAGUGUCUACAUUUGGCAGUGUCUUAUAUAAGUUUGUACAGAGUCCAGCAUAUUUGUUGUGAAACACGAAGGUGGCCCCUUGCAGAGUGUGGCUUGUGUUCAGCCGAGCUUGAAUGUCAGGAUUGUUGUGGGUGGUGUUACACAACUCUUUUUUUUUCUCUCUCCAAAGCAUAUCUUUCAGCAUUAACACAGUGCAGUCAGCUGUUUGAUCUAUGCAAACAGGUGCAGGAGUUCUUGGAAUCGUGCUGGCAACGACGUGCAAUGUAUCAACUGUAAACAGUCAGCAGUUCAUAGAAACCCUUUGUAGCAAACGAUGCAAGCAGGAAAAUGUGGCAACUGACACUGUAGCAGAAUACUUUUUUGCUCAUGCACACACUUUGAAGUGACCUUUAUAUGCUGUGUCACACCAGCAAGGAAUAACAAAAAGCAGUCUGUGAACUGAACACUUCAGCUCUUCCCACCACUGCAGUACUGGCACCCGCACCGUGACCCCGCAGCGGCCCGAGGAGGAAUGGAAAAUAACUGUGAGCGUGCUGAGGAGCGGGAACACUGUGACUGACAAAUGGGUAAUUUUCUCGGAGACAUUUGCGUCUUGAUAGGCUAAUUGUCUAAGUGUCCUCACAUUUGAGUCACCACGCUGUGGGAAAUGAGGGAUAUUUCUUUGUUUCUAAUUCUUAAAGGCAAAACGGGAGUAUGAAAUAAAGCUUUGCUAAUGUAGAGAUGGAGUCA